Molecule: ribosomal RNA, 301 nt
Filed under: uncultured bacterium
Lineage: Bacteria
Description: partial 16S ribosomal RNA
Rfam family: Bacterial small subunit ribosomal RNA
Source: RNAcentral
CAGCCGCCGCGGGAAUACGGAGGGAACUAGCGUUGUUCGGAAUUACUGGGCGUAAAGCGUGCGCAGGCGGUUAUAUAAGACAGAUGUGAAAUCCCCGGGCUCAACCUGGGACCUGCAUUUGUGACUGUAUAGCUAGAGUACGGUAGAGGGGGAUGGAAUUCCGCGUGUAGCAGUGAAAUGCGUAGAUAUGCGGAGGAACACCGAUGGCGAAGGCAAUCCCCUGGACCUGUACUGACGCUCAUGCACGAAAGCGUGGGGAGCAAACAGGAUUAGAUACCCCCGUAGUCCCUGUCUCUUAUAC